This 2059-nucleotide ribosomal RNA is filed under the name Phycisphaerae bacterium. RNAcentral's name for it is "partial 23S ribosomal RNA". It matches the Rfam family "Bacterial large subunit ribosomal RNA", at positions 1 to 2259 of the family's 2925-position model. The record is from RNAcentral. Lineage: Bacteria; Pseudomonadati; Planctomycetota; Phycisphaerae.
GACCAAGCCAUAAGGGCACACGGUGGAUGUCUUGGCGUCGAGAGGCGAUGAAAGACGUGGGAACCUGCGAAAAGCCACGGGGAGUUGGUAACCGAGCUGUGAUCCGUGGAUGUCUGAAUGGGGCAACCCACCCGCAAGGGUACUUCACUCUGAAUGCAUAGGGGUGAAGAGCGAACGUGGAGAACUGAAACAUCUCAGUACCCACAGGAAAGGAAAGCAACAGCGACUCCGUAAGUAGCGGCGAGCGAAAGCGGAUCAGCCAGCGGAAGGAUGAACCGGAUGGAAUGCCGGGCCGGAGAAGGUGAAAGCCCUGUAACCGGACGCUGGUCAGCCUUCAAGUAGAAUCGGACUCGUGAAACCCGGUUUGAAGAUGGGGGGUCCACCCUCCAAGGCUAAGUACUCCUCGACGACCGAUAGUGAACCAGUAAGGCGACUGAACGAUGAAAAGCACCCCGAUGAGGGGAAUGAAAGAGCACCUGAAACCGUGUGCUUACAAGCGGUCGGAGCGGCGCAAGCCGUGACGGCGUGCCUUUUGCAUAAUGAGCCGGCGAGUUAGCCUGUACGGCGAGCCUAAGGCCUUCCGGGCCGGAGGCGGAGCGAAAGCGAGUCUGAAAUGGGCGCCAAGUCGUACGGGCUAGACACGAAACCUUGUGAUCUACCGUUGGUCAGAGUGAAGGACGGGUAACUCCGUCUGGAGGCUCGAACGCGUGACCGUUGAAAAGGUCUGCGAUGAACUGACGGGAGGACUAAAAGUGUAAUCAAACUGGGAGAUAGCUUGUUCUCUCCGAAAUACCUUUAGGGGUAGCCUCAGGAGUCAGAACUCGGGGGUAGAGCGACUGGAUGGACUUAGGGGCCUACCCGGUCACCUGGUCCAACCAAACUCCGAAUACCGAGUUCGCUGUCCUGGGAGAAAGACUGCGAGUGACAAUAUCCGCGGUCAAAAGGAGAAAAAUCCAGAUCACCAGCUAAGGCCCCAAAUCCGUGCUAAGUUCGAAAGGAAGUCAGAUUGCAGUGACAUCCAGGAUGUUGGCUUAGAAGCAGCCACCAUUUAAAGAGUGCGUAACAGCUCACUGGACGAGGAAUCUGGCGCCGAUAAUUAUCGGGAAUAAGCAUGGAGCCGAAGCUGUGGGCUCGCAAGAGCGGUAGGAGAGCGUUGCAGGUGCGGUGAAGCGGUCCCGGAAGGGGUCGUGGAGCGCCCGCAAGUGAAUAUGCCGGCUUGAGUAACGAUAAAACGGGUGAAAAUCCCGUUCGCCGAAAGCCUAAGGAUUCCUGGGCAAGGUCAUUCCUCCCAGGGUUAGCCGGGACCUAAGACGAGGCCGAAAGGCGUAGUCGAUGGACAUCAGGUCAAUAUUCCUGAGCCGCUGUCGGGGACGAAUUCCAAAGCUCCACGGGACUGUCAGACGUCCAGGCCCUUGUGGCCGAUGUGGGGCGGCGGGGUUCCUAGAAAAGCCGACAGGUCAGCCCGUACCAAAACCGACACAGGUAGGCGAGGCGAAUAGCCUCAGGCGCUCGAGAGAACGGUCGUGAAGGAACUAGGCAAGUUAACCCCGUACGUUCGCAAGAAGGGGGCCCUACCCGCAAGGGAGGGCGCAGAGAAAAGGGUCUGGGAACUGUUUAUCAAAAACACAGCACUGUGCCAACACGCAAGUGGAUGUAUACAGUGUGACGCUUGCCCGAUGCCGGAAUGUCACGGAAGCGGGUUAGGGAAACCGAAGCUCGCGACCCAAGCACCGGUGAAUGGCGGCCGUAACUAUGACGGUCCUAAGGUAGCGAAGUUCCUUGUCGGGUAAGUUCCGACGCGCAUGAAUAGCGUAAUCACUGGAUCCCUGUCUCCACGACCGACUCGGUGAAAUAGUAGUGGCGGUGAAGAUGCCGCCUACCCGCAGCAAGACGGAAAGACCCCGUGGACCUUUACUAUAGAUUCUCAUUGGUCACGAGCAUGCUCUGCGUAGGAUAGGUGGGAGGCGUUGAUCCUGGAGUUCUGGCUCUGGGGGAGCCGACGUUGAAAUACCACCCUUUGACUAGUUGAGUCCUAACGGCGGCAAGCCAGACAGUGCAU